UAAAAUAAUAAUAGUUAUUUUGAUUUAAAAAUUAAUGAAAUUUGUGGAAGAAUAAAUUUUGUGAUGCUCGAAAUGUUCAAAACCCGAUGAAAUCUUGCAACUGCUUAAACAAGCCCAGAAUCGAUUCAUAAUGCGCGGUAAGCUGCUACAUUCUGACGGAACGUUCAAUUCUAAGCUCUUCUGUCAACAAUUAGCCAGCUUACAAAGAAAAGCGUUCAGAAUUGAUUAAUAGAAAACACAGAUCCUUUGAGGAAAGGUUUUAAUAAAUAUAUGUAAAAACGAGGCGGGAACUGGAAACAAAUCGGCAGAAUGCUAACCCGCGCUUCUCACCUUUCUUCGCUGCCUCAAAGUAUAUAUCGUUAUUCAUCUCCAUGGAUUCGAAGUAAAAUGCUCCACUGAAAGUGACCUUGAAAAUUGUACGUCAACUUGAAUUUUCAAAAUUCCAUUAAACUUAAAGCUAAUUAGUGGAAAAACGAAAAACGUAACAACAGGUGUACAACAAAUUUACAAACAACCAGUAUUGCUGUUUCUUAACACCAAUGUCCGAAGCAAGAAAUUUGUGACAAAAAAGAAAGUGUGCAACUAUUUAUAUAAAGACACAAAGAAGUAUUCCUGUCCAUACGUACAUAUAUGUACAUAUGUAGUAUUUAUGUAUGUGCGUCUAUCAGCGUCGGGCAUAUAUAUGCUACGGCAAGAGACCAGCCAAGCCAACUAAUUCACAUGACCUCAUAUUCAAAUCUACGAAACUUAGUGGCGACACUGACCGUUAGUAAAUAAAAAGCCUGUUGCAUGUGAAAAGAAA
Long non-coding RNA from Ceratitis capitata (Mediterranean fruit fly), 802 nucleotides. RefSeq lists it as uncharacterized. The transcript has 2 exons. Lineage: Eukaryota; Metazoa; Arthropoda; Insecta; Diptera; Tephritidae. The record is from RefSeq and is a predicted model, not a curated record.